RNAcentral lists this long non-coding RNA (1948 nucleotides) under Sus scrofa (pig). RNAcentral describes it as "lncRNA (ENSSSCG00065021538.1)". Lineage: Eukaryota; Metazoa; Chordata; Mammalia; Artiodactyla; Suidae. The record is from RNAcentral.
UAUGGAAGUUCCCAGGCUAGGGGUUGAAUCGGAGCUAUAGCUGCCAGCCUACACCAUAGCCACAGCAACGCCAGAUCCCAUCCACACCUGCAAUCUACAUCACACCUCACGGCCACGCCAAAUCCUUAACCCACUGCGUGAGGCCAGGGAUCAAACCCUCAUCCUCAUGAAUGCCAUUUGGAUUCAUUGCCGCCAAGUCACAACCAGAACACCAAUUAAGUGCACUUUUAAUCUGUAUUUUUUUUUUUUCAGAAAUACUCCUAUAUACUUUGUCAAAGCCUGCUCUGGUAAUAUUCAGAUCAUAUAAACCAAACUAUAGAUAGUCUGAUACUUAGGAAAAAGUAGAAAGUUUAAGGUAUUGUAGUCAGACCUGCCAUAGGAAUCAAGGUACAAGAGGAAUGCCCACCAGGCUGAAGUUGCCUGGGAAUGAGGUGGGGAAAAGGAAACUGUCUUAAAUUUGUACUCUACUUUUGACCACACUCAGGAUCUUAGAAAGACUAGGAUUUGGGUCAUUGAUCGGGCCUUAAGGCCUCUACAACUUAACAUAAUUAUGGACUAGAAAGAGUAGUAGGCUGGCAGCCAGAAGGCCUCCCCACAGGCUGGGAGUGUCUGUGUAUUUCCCUUCUCAGAGGCAGAGCCUGCUAUUUUAAAGUGAGGGCGCUGGGCUGUGUUAUAUCAUUUCUCUCUCGUGUCUUGUGUUCUAUGGAGUCAUCUUGAGUUCUUCCUUUCUGCAUGGCCCCAUCAUCAGUCACCCCUCAAGGACUCCUGAUAAUCUCUGCCCCUAUCUUCUGGCCAUGCUUUUGGUUCAGACUCAGGUCAAUGCCAAGUCUUCUUAAAUGUUUUCCCCACUUGCUUUGGGCUAAUGAUAUGAUCUCCCAAGUCUUCAGCUAUCCCGUCUUCUGAACAACAGAUACAUAUACUCACAGGGGGUUUGGGUCCCCAUAUAACAUAUAAAAAAUGCUUCACACUGUGUUCAGUUCCUAAUGGUGACAACUAUUUCCUAGAAAAUACGUAUAUUGUCCUUUUUUGUCAUGAAGUUUACUCUUUUUAAGAAUUUAUUUUAUUGAGGAGUUCUUGUCGUGGCGCAGUGGUUAACGAAUCCGACUAGGAACCCUGGGGUUGUGGGUUCGAUCCCUGGCCUUGCUCAGUGGGUUAAGGAUCCGGCGUUGCCGUGAGCUGUGGUGUAGGUCGCAGACCCGGCUGGAUCCCACAUUGCUGUGGCUCUGGCGUAGGCCGGUAGCUACAGCUCCGGUUAGACCGCUAGCCUGGGAACCUCCAUGUGCCACAGGAAGCGGCCCUAAAAAAGGCAAAAAGACAAAAAAAAAAAUUUAUUUUAUUGAAGUAUGAUUGAUUUAUAGUGUUGCGUUAAUUUCUUCUGUACAACACAGUGAUUCAGUUCAUAAAUAUAUAUGGUUUAUCACAGGAUAUUGACUACAGUUCCCUGUGAUACACAAUAGGACCUUAUUUAUCCAUUCUGUAUAUAAUCAUUUGCACAUGCCAAUCCUAAACUCUCAAUCCAUCCCUCUGCCAUCCCCCUUCCUCCGUGGCAGCCAUAAAUCCAUUUUCUAUAUGAGUCUGGUUUUGUUUUGGAGAUAUGUUCAUUUGCAUCAUAUUUUAGAUUCCACAUAUCAGUGAUAUCAUAUGGUAUUUAACUUUCUCUUUCUGAAAAACUUCACUCAGUAUGAGAAUCUCUAGUUGCAUCCAUGUUGUUGCAAAUAGCUUUAUUUCACUAUUUCUUUGGCUGAGCAAUAUUCCAUGGUAUAUAUGUACCCAUCUUCCUCAUCCACUCCUCUAUCUAUGGAUAUUUAGGUUAUUAACAUGUCUUGGCUAUGGUAAAUAGUGCUGUUAUGAACAUAGGGUGCAUGUAUAAGAAGUUUUACUCUUAAUCACAACAGGAUUUGUAUCAAGGAAAAAUAAAAGUAAUCUAGAUGUCUGGGUAGAAUGCUUA